AACGAACGCUGGCGGCAUGCCUAACACAUGCAAGUCGAACGAGACCUUCGGGUCUAGUGGCGCACGGGUGCGUAACGCGUGGGAAUCUGCCCUUGGGUUCGGAAUAACAGUUGGAAACGACUGCUAAUACCGGAUGAUGACGUAAGUCCAAAGAUUUAUCGCCCAGGGAUGAGCCCGCGUAGGAUUAGCUAGUUGGUGGGGUAAAGGCCUACCAAGGCGACGAUCCUUAGCUGGGCUGAGAGGAGGAUCAGCCACACUGGGACUGGGACACGGCCCAGACUCCUACGGGAGGCAGCAGUGGGGAAUAUUGGAAAAUGGGCGAAAGCCUGAUCCAGCAAUGCCGCGUGAGUGAUGAAGGCCUUAGGGUUGUAAAGCUCUUUUACCCGGGAUGAUAAUGACAGUACCGGGAGAAUAAGCCCCGGCUAACUCCGUG
Molecule: ribosomal RNA, 433 nt
Filed under: uncultured bacterium
Lineage: Bacteria
Description: partial 16S ribosomal RNA
Rfam family: Bacterial small subunit ribosomal RNA
Source: RNAcentral